GAUGAACGCUGGCGGCGUGCCUAAUACAUGCAAGUCGAGCGAACAGACGAGGAGCUUGCUCCUCUGACGUUAGCGGCGGACGGGUGAGUAACACGUGGAUAACCUACCUAUAAGACUGGGAUAACUUCGGGAAACCGGCGCUAAUACCGGAUAAUAUCUUGAACCGCAUGGUUCAAUAGUGAAAGACGGUUUUGCUGUCACUUAUAGAUGGAUCCGCGCCGCAUUAGCUAGUUGGUAAGGUAACGGCUUACCAAGGCAACGAUGCGUAGCCGACCUGAGAGGGGGAUCGGCCACACUGGAACUGAGACACGGUCAAGACUCCUAAGGGAGGCAGCAGUAGGGAAUCGUCCGCAAUGGGCGAAAGCCUGACGGAGCAACGCCGCGUGAGUGAUGAAGGUCUUCGGAUCGUAAAAAUCUGUUAUUAGGGAAGAACAAAUGUGGAAGUAACUAUGCACGUCUUGACGGUACCUAAUAAGAAAGCCACGGCUAACUACGUG
RNAcentral lists this ribosomal RNA (497 nucleotides) under uncultured bacterium. Its description in RNAcentral is "partial 16S ribosomal RNA". It matches the Rfam family "Bacterial small subunit ribosomal RNA", at positions 28 to 507 of the family's 1533-position model. The record is from RNAcentral.